GACGAACGCUGGCGGCGUGCCUAAUACAUGCAAGUCGAGCGAAGUUUUUCUGGUGCUUGCAUCGGAAAAACUUAGCGGCGAACGGGUGAGUAACACGUAAAGAACCUGCCUCAUAGACUGGGACAACUAUUGGAAACGAUAGCUAAUACCGGAUAACAGCAUUAACUGCAUGGUUGAUGUUUAAAAGUUGGUUUUGCUAACACUAUGAGAUGGCUUUGCGGUGCAUUAGCUAGUUGGUGGGGUAAAGGCCUACCAAGGCGACGAUGCAUAGCCGACCUGAGAGGGUGAUCGGCCACACUGGGACUGAGACACGGCCCAGACUCCUACGGGAGGCAGCAGUAGGGAAUCUUCCGCAAUGGGCGAAAGCCUGACGGAGCAACGCCGCGUGAGUGAAGAAGGAUUUCGGUUCGUAAAGCUCUGUUGUUAGGGAAGAAUGAUUGUGUAGUAACUAUACACAGUAGAGACGGUACCUAACCAGAAAGCCACGGCUAACUACGUG
Molecule: ribosomal RNA, 499 nt
Filed under: uncultured bacterium
Lineage: Bacteria
Description: partial 16S ribosomal RNA
Rfam family: Bacterial small subunit ribosomal RNA
Source: RNAcentral